RNAcentral lists this non-coding RNA (28 nucleotides) under Mus musculus (house mouse). Lineage: Eukaryota; Metazoa; Chordata; Mammalia; Rodentia; Muridae. The record is from RNAcentral.
UUCUAUGACAUCUGUCCCAGAGUUGGCU